UGUAGUAAUACAAGGCAGACGGCUCAGUAACGCGUAGUCAACCUACCCUAUGGACGGGGAUAACCUCGGGAAACUGAGAAUAAUACCCGAUAGAACAUUAUGCCUGGAAUAGUUUAUGUUUCAAAUAAUUUAUUGCCGUAGGAUGGGACUGCGGCCUAUCAGUUUGUUGGUGAGGUAAUGGCCCACCAAGACUAUUACAGGUACGGGCUCUGAGAGGAGUAGCCCGGAGAUGGGUACUGAGACACGGACCCAGGCCCUAUGGGGCGCAGCAGGCGAGAAAACUUUGCAAUGUGCGAAAGCACGACAAGGUUAAUCCGAGUGGUUUCUGCUAAAGGAACCUUUUGUCAGUCCCAGAAACACUGAUGAGUAAGGGGUGGGCAAGUUCUGGUGUCAGCCGCCGCGGUAAAACCAGCACCUCAAGUGGUCAGGAUGAUUAUUGGGCCUAAAGCAUCCGUAGCCUGCUUUGUAAGUUUUCGGUUAAAUCCAUACGCUCAACGUAUGGGCUGCCGGGAAUACUGCAAAGCUAGGGAGUGGGAGAGGUAGACGGUACUCGGUAGGAAGGGGUAAAAUCCUUUGAUCUAUUGAUGACCACCUGUGGCGAAGGCGGUCUACCAGAACACGUCCGACGGUGAGGGAUGAAAGCUGGGGGAGCAAACCGGAUUAGAUACCCGGGUAGUCCCAGCUGUAAACUAUGCAAACUCAGUGAUGCAUUGGCUUGAUGCCAAUGCAGUGCUGCAGGGAAGCCGUUAAGUUUGCCGCCUGGGAAGUACGUACGCAAGUAUGAAACUUAAAGGAAUUGGCGGGA
This 805-nucleotide ribosomal RNA is filed under the name uncultured archaeon. Its description in RNAcentral is "bacterial SSU rRNA". It matches the Rfam family "Archaeal small subunit ribosomal RNA", at positions 63 to 873 of the family's 1478-position model. The record is from RNAcentral.